This 2701-nucleotide ribosomal RNA is filed under the name Escherichia coli. RNAcentral describes it as "partial 23S ribosomal RNA". It matches the Rfam family "Bacterial large subunit ribosomal RNA". The record is from RNAcentral. Lineage: Bacteria; Pseudomonadati; Pseudomonadota; Gammaproteobacteria; Enterobacterales; Enterobacteriaceae.
GGGUUGUGAGGUUAAGCGACUAAGCGUACACGGUGGAUGCCCUGGCAGUCAGAGGCGAUGAAGGACGUGCUAAUCUGCGAUAAGCGUCGGUAAGGUGAUAUGAACCGUUAUAACCGGCGAUUUCCGAAUGGGGAAACCCAGUGUGUUUCGACACACUAUCAUUAACUGAAUCCAUAGGUUAAUGAGGCGAACCGGGGGAACUGAAACAUCUAAGUACCCCGAGGAAAAGAAAUCAACCGAGAUUCCCCCAGUAGCGGCGAGCGAACGGGGAGCAGCCCAGAGCCUGAAUCAGUGUGUGUGUUAGUGGAAGCGUCUGGAAAGGCGCGCGAUACAGGGUGACAGCCCCGUACACAAAAAUGCACAUGCUGUGAGCUCGAUGAGUAGGGCGGGACACGUGGUAUCCUGUCUGAAUAUGGGGGGACCAUCCUCCAAGGCUAAAUACUCCUGACUGACCGAUAGUGAACCAGUACCGUGAGGGAAAGGCGAAAAGAACCCCGGCGAGGGGAGUGAAAAAGAACCUGAAACCGUGUACGUACAAGCAGUGGGAGCACGCUUAGGCGUGUGACUGCGUACCUUUUGUAUAAUGGGUCAGCGACUUAUAUUCUGUAGCAAGGUUAACCGAAUAGGGGAGCCGAAGGGAAACCGAGUCUUAACUGGGCGUUAAGUUGCAGGGUAUAGACCCGAAACCCGGUGAUCUAGCCAUGGGCAGGUUGAAGGUUGGGUAACACUAACUGGAGGACCGAACCGACUAAUGUUGAAAAAUUAGCGGAUGACUUGUGGCUGGGGGUGAAAGGCCAAUCAAACCGGGAGAUAGCUGGUUCUCCCCGAAAGCUAUUUAGGUAGCGCCUCGUGAAUUCAUCUCCGGGGGUAGAGCACUGUUUCGGCAAGGGGGUCAUCCCGACUUACCAACCCGAUGCAAACUGCGAAUACCGGAGAAUGUUAUCACGGGAGACACACGGCGGGUGCUAACGUCCGUCGUGAAGAGGGAAACAACCCAGACCGCCAGCUAAGGUCCCAAAGUCAUGGUUAAGUGGGAAACGAUGUGGGAAGGCCCAGACAGCCAGGAUGUUGGCUUAGAAGCAGCCAUCAUUUAAAGAAAGCGUAAUAGCUCACUGGUCGAGUCGGCCUGCGCGGAAGAUGUAACGGGGCUAAACCAUGCACCGAAGCUGCGGCAGCGACGCUUAUGCGUUGUUGGGUAGGGGAGCGUUCUGUAAGCCUGUGAAGGUGUGCUGUGAGGCAUGCUGGAGGUAUCAGAAGUGCGAAUGCUGACAUAAGUAACGAUAAAGCGGGUGAAAAGCCCGCUCGCCGGAAGACCAAGGGUUCCUGUCCAACGUUAAUCGGGGCAGGGUGAGUCGACCCCUAAGGCGAGGCCGAAAGGCGUAGUCGAUGGGAAACAGGUUAAUAUUCCUGUACUUGGUGUUACUGCGAAGGGGGGACGGAGAAGGCUAUGUUGGCCGGGCGACGGUUGUCCCGGUUUAAGCGUGUAGGCUGGUUUUCCAGGCAAAUCCGGAAAAUCAAGGCUGAGGCGUGAUGACGAGGCACUACGGUGCUGAAGCAACAAAUGCCCUGCUUCCAGGAAAAGCCUCUAAGCAUCAGGUAACAUCAAAUCGUACCCCAAACCGACACAGGUGGUCAGGUAGAGAAUACCAAGGCGCUUGAGAGAACUCGGGUGAAGGAACUAGGCAAAAUGGUGCCGUAACUUCGGGAGAAGGCACGCUGAUAUGUAGGUGAAGUCCCUCGCGGAUGGAGCUGAAAUCAGUCGAAGAUACCAGCUGGCUGCAACUGUUUAUUAAAAACACAGCACUGUGCAAACACGAAAGUGGACGUAUACGGUGUGACGCCUGCCCGGUGCCGGAAGGUUAAUUGAUGGGGUUAGCGGUAACGCGAAGCUCUUGAUCGAAGCCCCGGUAAACGGCGGCCGUAACUAUAACGGUCCUAAGGUAGCGAAAUUCCUUGUCGGGUAAGUUCCGACCUGCACGAAUGGCGUAAUGAUGGCCAGGCUGUCUCCACCCGAGACUCAGUGAAAUUGAACUCGCUGUGAAGAUGCAGUGUACCCGCGGCAAGACGGAAAGACCCCGUGAACCUUUACUAUAGCUUGACACUGAACAUUGAGCCUUGAUGUGUAGGAUAGGUGGGAGGCUUAGAAGUGUGGACGCCAGUCUGCAUGGAGCCGACCUUGAAAUACCACCCUUUAAUGUUUGAUGUUCUAACGUUGACCCGUAAUCCGGGUUGCGGACAGUGUCUGGUGGGUAGUUUGACUGGGGCGGUCUCCUCCUAAAGAGUAACGGAGGAGCACGAAGGUUGGCUAAUCCUGGUCGGACAUCAGGAGGUUAGUGCAAUGGCAUAAGCCAGCUUGACUGCGAGCGUGACGGCGCGAGCAGGUGCGAAAGCAGGUCAUAGUGAUCCGGUGGUUCUGAAUGGAAGGGCCAUCGCUCAACGGAUAAAAGGUACUCCGGGGAUAACAGGCUGAUACCGCCCAAGAGUUCAUAUCGACGGCGGUGUUUGGCACCUCGAUGUCGGCUCAUCACAUCCUGGGGCUGAAGUAGGUCCCAAGGGUAUGGCUGUUCGCCAUUUAAAGUGGUACGCGAGCUGGGUUUAGAACGUCGUGAGACAGUUCGGUCCCUAUCUGCCGUGGGCGCUGGAGAACUGAGGGGGGCUGCUCCUAGUACGAGAGGACCGGAGUGGACGCAUCACUGGUGUU